AGACCUACUGAAUCAAAAUCAGCAUAUUUAGCAAGAUCCCCAGGUGAUUCGCAGGCACAUUAAAGGUUGAGAAGCCACUGAGCCAGUCUAGAGUACUAGGGAAAACCUGAGCGCCCUCCUGAAACUUGUUUUUCAUCUCGGUCGCUUUGGAGUGCUCAUUCUGAAUGUUUCAAUCCCAAAGAUCUGAGGAGUUUGAGUGUAUCAAGUUUCAUGCAUAAAACGGUGAAAUGCCCCACUGAGAAAAUCUUUCUUGGCCUUGAUCGUGUUGUUUUUCUUGGAGUAUACAGGAGUAAAAAUUCAAAACCACACCAGGUUAAGUGUUAUUCAGGGUUUCCUAUGUGUCCUGGACCCUGGAAAUAGAUGGAUAAACAAGACAGACAUGGUCCUAGACCUCCUGGAGCUUACAGUCCAGUGGGAAAGACAGAAAAUGAACAAUUAACAGAAUGGCCUUUCUUUUGCUCAGCUGUUUUAAAAUCAUUCUACCUUUCCCAAAGUGUUGACCACGGAAGGUCAAAGAGGUCACCUCUCCCCGGGGUAUUUGCAUUUUGAUGGGGACUGUACAAGACACCGAAGAAUAAGCUCACGGAAAGCUUUCUGACACUGUGUGGGGAGAGCAACUACUCCACUUACUUGAAAGGCUAGUUUUGUUUGGAGGCAAUUUUUUUCCUCAAAAGUGUUAAUUGUCACCUUUAUUUGGAAGCCGAGAUUAAAUAGCCUUCCCCUCCAUCCUUGCUUGAUGCAUUCUGGAAAAGGAGCUCAGUUUGCCAAGAUUACUGCCAGGACUGACACAUCCACAGAGUAGAUGGUUUCUAUUAAAAAAUUCCCUUUCCUGUUGUUUCGGUGGAGCUUUGGGAAGGAGCAAAAGGAAGGUUCUACAUUUCUAGAUUCAAAUUCCUUCUGAGGAGAUCCUGUUAACUGGAGAACCCUUUAUGCUGCUGAGCUGGAGAGCUGGAGGGGGCUCAGCUGCGUAGCAAGGUGGAAGACAAAAUAAGGAGGGGUGAGAAUGAGGAGAAUGGAGCCAAUGACACCCAGCAUUGUAUGGAGGAAGGAAAGAGAGAAAAUCAUUGUAUCAGGAAGGCUAAGAAUGGACUUGGGAGGAUACAAAUGUCAGAUUUUAAAGUUGAUUGCUUUGGGUAGCAUGAUGUAAAUUCUUUCUCAAUCGCCACUGUCGAAUCUUAAGAAAGUCUACCUUACCCUCAAAUGCUUUGUGAGAGUGGAUUCUUCACAGGAUACUCAACGAGGUAUUGACAUUUAUGUCUGGAUGAAUACAUGCAGCGGAGCUAAGUAACUGAGCCAGUAGUCUACCUCAGGUCUGCAUGAUGCUGACACCUACACUCUCAACUGCUAGGCUUAUACUGCUGUUGCUUGGCUUUAAGGAAGAAUUAUUUUGCCCUGAAUAUGCCAGCAUUAUGAAGUUCCUUCUUUUAUGGAGUUGUGUUCCAAAACUGAGGUGUGGACCCAGGGAGUGCAUACCCACUCUAGUUUUCCAUAGCUGCUCCUAGAGUAACUCUGCCUGGUUAGUCAACCCCUAAGGGUCCACAUGACCUGACAAAGAAGAUAGUUGUGAUCCUUCUUGUCCUUACGUUCGGCUGUGACCGUGUAAUUUAUCUUGGGUCCUCCUGGAGUAGGUUACAGGUGGCCAGAAGCAGUCAGUCCUUCUGGGAGGAAAUAUAAACCCAAGCAGCCAAACCAAAAGAAAAGAAAAACUCGGUCUCUGGUGAGAGCGGUAGAGAGGAGCCAAAAGCCCUAACUCUGGAUACAUAAAAUGAAUACCCCCAAAUCUUCCCAUCACCACCACUUAUUAUUAUAGUAAUUAUGCCACUAGUUAUUACUAAUAGUAAAUAGGAAAAAAUAGAUUUUAGGAAUUAGAAAAGGUCUGUUUCUAUCUCUUCCCUUUCCCAUAGGCUGAAAUGAUUCUCACCCUACUUCUGUCCAACCCCUACUGCUUCUGUUUCUCCCAGGUUCUUGUUCCCUUGCCUUAUUGCCCACUUUUCUUCUUCCCCUGCUAGCCUACUUUCUCCUUUUCCAUAGGCCAGCCUUUGUUCUCCUCUAACAAUAAACUUGGCAGCACAGUGCACAGAAAAGAGGUUAGCUGUUUAAAACGUGUUAGUACCUAUCCAACACCAUGGAGAGGAAGGUUGGUUGGUUUUUACAGGACUAGUUCCACUAUUCAGAAAAAUUCCCUUAAUAGAAGAUUUACUGAUUAAUUCAUAUUACCUAAUUAUAAAUAACAUUUGGGAGAAAACAGGUAUAGCAGAUGCUGUUGGUGCCCCACCCCUAUCGCCUUGACAUUUACCAUGUCCAUACAUGCUGCCCAACUUCCAGCUGCCACUCUGCCUGGAGCCCUCUCUGCCCUCCACCCUCCCAGAAGCAAUCCUUAACCAAUGACUGAUGGAGUUACUGGAUAAAUAUCCCAGUUCCCUUGCCUCAUGCGUGGGAUACAUCUGAGGCAUGUUCUCCCAGGGAGAUUGUGCUCCAGCUGCCCUUACUGAUCUUGCUCAUCAAGGCAAAUUUUACUGGCUUCCUUCCUUUCCCUGUUUUACUUCUUUACUUCCUGACUAAUAUUUCCAGGAAUUAUCUGCCAAAUAGAUACUUGAAUUUAAACCAUUUUCUCAGGGUCAAUUUUGGGAGAACAUAAAUCAAGAAAACAAUUUAAUUUGCCUGACCUAUUGAUUACUAAGCAAGCUUCUGAUUUGUAGUUUGGUGACAUUAGUGGCUCAUUUCUGAUAGGAUGUUCUGUGCAGAUAACUUGUCCUGUUUAUAUGUAAAUCCUAUCUGUGGCUGAUUAAUGACUCUUGGAAAUAUUGUUGAUGUGAGUCAAUCUUCUAGAACAGAAAUUGGCAAAGUACAACCUGUGUGUCAAGUCUGUUCAGUCACUUGUUUU
This 2884-nucleotide long non-coding RNA is filed under the name Equus caballus (horse). RNAcentral describes it as "lncRNA (ENSECAG00000057425.1)". The record is from RNAcentral. Lineage: Eukaryota; Metazoa; Chordata; Mammalia; Perissodactyla; Equidae.